RNAcentral lists this ribosomal RNA (245 nucleotides) under uncultured bacterium. RNAcentral's name for it is "partial 16S ribosomal RNA". It matches the Rfam family "Bacterial small subunit ribosomal RNA", at positions 524 to 768 of the family's 1533-position model. The record is from RNAcentral.
UACGUAGGUUGCAAGCGUUACCCGGUUUUAUUGGGCGUAAAGCGUCUGUCGGUGGUUUUUCAAGUCUUAUUUCAAAGACCCCAGCUUAACUGGGGAAAGGGGUAGGAGACUGAAAGACUGGAGUCAUAUCGGAGUUACUGGAAUUUGUAGUGUAGGGGUAAAAUCCGUGGAUACUACAAAGAACACCAAGCGCGAAGGCGGGUAACUAGGUAUGUACUGACACUCAGAGACGAAAGCUAGGGAAG